CCUACGGGGAGCUGCAGUGGGGAAUAUUGGACAAUGGGCGAAAGCCUGAUCCAGCCAUGCCGCGUGUGUGAAGAAGGCCUUCGGGUUGUAAAGCACUUUCAGUGGGGAAGAAAGCCUUGGGGCUAAUACCCUCGAGGAAGGACAUCACCCACAGAAGAAGCACCGGCUAACUCCGUGCCAGCAGCCGCGGUAAUACGGAGGGUGCGAGCGUUAAUCGGAAUUACUGUGCGUAAAGCGCGCGUAGGCGGUCUGAUAAGCCGGUUGUGAAAGCCCCGGGCUCAACCUGGGAACGGCAUCCGGAACUGUCAGGCUAGAGUGCAGGAGAGGACGGUAGAAUUCCAGGUGUAGCGGUGAAAUGCGUAGAGAUCGGGAGGAACACCAGUGGCGAAGGCGGCCUUCUGGACUGACACUGACGCUGAGGUGCGAAAGCGUGGGUAGCAAACAGGAUUAGAUACCCCGGUAGUC
RNAcentral lists this ribosomal RNA (465 nucleotides) under Vreelandella stevensii. RNAcentral's name for it is "partial 16S ribosomal RNA". It matches the Rfam family "Bacterial small subunit ribosomal RNA", at positions 338 to 795 of the family's 1533-position model. The record is from RNAcentral. Lineage: Bacteria; Pseudomonadati; Pseudomonadota; Gammaproteobacteria; Oceanospirillales; Halomonadaceae.